AAUUAUUUGAUUAAAUGUCAAUAGGAGGUGGCCAUACAGUAAUUCAGAGCUGUCUGGAUAACAGGUUUCUGGAGAAUGGAUCCUUUACCUGUAUUAUCAAUUAGGAUGAACAUACACAUUUCUUUAAUCCCUAGCUGGAAUUGAAUCUAGGUGCCCAGUACUACAAGGCAGAAGUGUUGUCCCACAUUGAUAUUAAAGGAGAAGGAAAGGCAAAAACAAACUUUAGCUGUAAGCGUUGCCAAUAUAUGGUACAUAUAGUUUGCAGCAAGCAUUCCCCUGUUACUUUUUCCAACAACAUUUUUGCUCCAAUCGAUUUUUCAAAAAGUAAAGACAAGUAUGAAAAAGAUUACCUUUCUUUCUGUAAGAAAUCUGUUCAAGUAGGGCACACGCAUGCGCAAUAGCUUCAAUCCGUGCCCUGCGCAUGCGCACAAGACUAUUUUUUCUUCCCCUUGCUGCGAUGACGAUACGGUCACGUGACCCAGCCGCAUGUCAUCGCUGACCUCUCUGCCCCGCCUCAUAAAUCUAAGCCAAUAGCUGAGGCAGCUUCCCGGGGAAGCUUUGAAGCUGCUGCGCUGCUCUGAUAUUAUUUACAAUCUGUCAGUGAGCGAGCGCAGCAGCUUAGGAAGGGGGGCGAUACAAAAAGGCAGCCAAGGAUCGGGUCUGUCUGACUGAGGUCUGUACUAAGCCAUAAAGUCAAAUACAGAUUUUAUUUUGACUGACGUGACGUCAGCGGGGUCACGAAGGCAGUGCAUGCGGAAGAGAAGCUCAAAUUUAAAAUGGCGGCGCUAAACUGCUUUAACGGGAGAAACUUCCAAGCGCUUGUGCACAGAUUGAGCACGGAUUUAAGCAUUUUAACUGCAGCGUUUCAGAAGGGGGAAGGAUGGAGAACACAGUGAAGGUGGAAGCAUACAGAAGAGACCUUGUCUGGACAUUGAAAGACCUGCUCCCCUGGAUGUCAAUAACUACAGCUUCCACUCUAUAGUUGGACGAGGAGGCUUUGGCUGGGUGAUGUUGGCUUCUUUUAGGCCCAAGAAACAACUCGUGGCAAUAAAGAUCUUGACGAAGGAGUCUGAGAAGAACGACUGCCAUGCCAUCGCUAAAGAGGCCCGUCUACUGAAAAUCAGCAGAGAAUGUGCAUUUUUAUGCCAGUCUUAUGCAGUUUUUCAGUCAGAGCUGGAAGCCUUCUUUGUCCUGGAAUAUGCCAGUGGGAAGUCUUUAGGGCAAAUGAUUUCGCAUGAAGGAAAGCUACCAACAUCAAGAAUAAGGUUCUACACAGCAGAGAUGGUGGUUGCCCUCCAGUUCCUGCAUUCCAAGGGAAUCAUUCAUCGUGAUCUCAAGCCGGGCAACAUAUUGAUUGAUAAAGACGGCCAUAUAAAGAUCUGUGACUUUGGUAUGGCGGAAGAGAAUAUCAUUGGCCAGAGGAAGACCUAUGGCUUAGCAGGAACCCCUGGAUACCGGGCACCAGAGAUUCUAUCAUUUGAGGACUACAAUGCAGGCGUGGAUUGGUGGUCUUUUGGGGUUACAAUGUACAAAAUGGCCACAGGAGUCAUGCCGUUUUCAGCAGCAGGCAGCAUUCAAAAACAACGUUUGGUAAUUAUUAUGAAACCACCAACUUACCCAUGUGAUAUGAACGAGGAAAUGCUGGACCUCCUGCCUAAGCUUUUGGAAAUUAAUGAGACUCAACGGAUUGGACUGAAUGGUAACAUCAGGGAGCAUGCUUUCUACAGCACCAUCAACUGGGAAGAUCUGGAGAACCAAAGACUAGAGACCCCUUUUCAGCCAGGAAUGCCAUCUGUAGACGACUUUGAAGAAUUUCCGAUAACGUUCUCCCGCCAAAGCUCCAGUGAAAAAGACAAUCUGAAAGAUUUCUCAGAAGUGGAUCCCAACUGGAAUUGGCAGGAGUAAGGCAUUACCUUCGUUCUAACAUGGGACACCAUCUUUAGUUGCUGCCUGUAACAACCUGGGAAUAUUAACAUCAUACCAUAUUUGGCAAGCUCCACCCCUAAACAACCAAUCCACCUGUAUUGUCAAACCUAAACCAUUCCCUGUGAAUGUCACCUGGUUCUACCAUCAACACCAGCACCAGACGAGAUCUUUGACUGUAGCUUCUAAAGGAUGGAAAUAGAAAGGUACUGUGGUGAGUUUACAUCUUGAAUGAAGAGUACUUAAUAAAACCAGUUUACCCCCACCCCCAAACUUCUGCCUCCCUCCUAUUCCCUUACCCAUGAUUAACCCUCAUCCCAAGUGGCUCACGCCAGUGGCAUAAUAAUAAAGGAAGUAGACCCCAUGGCCGCGGGGGGCCUGGUCUACUUCCUUUAUACUGUCUCUCUCCUACUCCCUUAUCCUAUCCCUGAUUUCCCUCAUCCUGAUCAGUAAACCACACCCCAAACCUCUGUCACUCUCUUAUUCCCUCACCUAUGAUUAACUCCUCUCCUAAAUGGGCCACGCCAGUGGCAUAAUUAUAAAGGAAGUAGACCCCAUGGCCGCGGGGGGCCCUGGUCUACUUCCUCUAUACUGUUUCCUCCUACUCCCUUUCCUCUGAUUUCCCUCAAUCCUUAUCAUUACACAACACCUCAAACAUCUGCCUUCCUCCUAUUCCUUUACCUGUGAUUAACCCUUUUCUUAAGCAGUGGUGUAACUAUAAAGGAAGCAGACACACUGGCCGCGGGGGGCCCAGGUCUACUUCCUCUAUACUGUCUCCCUUCUGCUCCCUUAUCCCCGAUUUCCCUCCUUCCUAAUCACUACUAAACUCCUGCCUCUUUCCUAUUCCCUUACCUGUGAUGACAUUACUAUAAAGAAAGCAGACCCUGUGGUCGCGGGGGGCCCAUGUCUACUUUCUCUAUACGGUCUCCUCCUACUCCCUUUCCAGCCCCAUUCUCUAUUCUCUCCCAGCACCGUUCCUUGCCUGUUCCCAUUUUCUGUGUAUGUGUGAGUAUGUCUGUAUGAGCGCUGUGUGUGUGUGUGUGAGUGCUGUGUGUGUAUGUGUAA
Molecule: RNA transcript, 2988 nt
Organism: Xenopus laevis (African clawed frog)
Lineage: Eukaryota; Metazoa; Chordata; Amphibia; Anura; Pipidae
Gene name: protein kinase C theta type-like
Exons: 10
Source: RefSeq, a predicted model, not a curated record